Molecule: ribosomal RNA, 429 nt
Filed under: bacterium
Lineage: Bacteria
Description: partial 16S ribosomal RNA
Rfam family: Bacterial small subunit ribosomal RNA
Source: RNAcentral
UAGGGAAUCUUCGGCAAUGGGGGCAACCCUGACCGAGCAACGCCGCGUGAGUGAAGAAGGUUUUCGGAUCGUAAAGCUCUGUUGUAAGAGAAGAACGUGUGUGAGAGUGGAAAGUUCACACAGUGACGGUAACUUACCAGAAAGGGACGGCUAACUACGUGCCAGCAGCCGCGGUAAUACGUAGGUCCCGAGCGUUGUCCGGAUUUAUUGGGCGUAAAGCGAGCGCAGGCGGUUUAAUAAGUCUGAAGUUAAAGGCAGUGGCUUAACCAUUGUUCGCUUUGGAAACUGUUAAACUUGAGUGCAGAAGGGGAGAGUGGAAUUCCAUGUGUAGCGGUGAAAUGCGUAGAUAUAUGGAGGAACACCGGUGGCGAAAGCGGCGCUCUUGUCUGUAACUGACGCUGAGGCUCGAAAGCGUGGGGAGCAAACAGG